This 440-nucleotide ribosomal RNA is filed under the name uncultured bacterium. RNAcentral describes it as "partial 16S ribosomal RNA". It matches the Rfam family "Bacterial small subunit ribosomal RNA", at positions 338 to 795 of the family's 1533-position model. The record is from RNAcentral.
CCUACGGGAGGCAGCAGUAGGGAAUAUUGCUCAAUGGGGGAAACCCUGAAGCAGCAACGCCGCGUGGAGGAUGAAGGUUUUAGGAUUGUAAACUCCUUUUGUUAGAGAAGAAAAUGACGGUAUCUAACGAAUAAGCACCGGCUAACUCCGUGCAAGCAGCCGCGGUAAUACGGAGGGCGACAGCGUUACUCGGAAUCACUGGGCGUAAAGAGGGCGUAGGCGGGAUAGCAAGUCAGAUGUGAAAUCCUAUGGCUUAACCCUAGAACUGCCUUUGAAACUGUUAUUCUAGAGUAUGGGAGAGGUAGGUGGAAUUCUUGGUGUAGGGGUGAAAUCCGUAGAGAUCAAGAGGAAUACUCAUUGCGAAGGCGACCUGCUAGAACAUAACUGACGCUGAUGCGCGAAAGCGUGGGGAGCAAACAGGAUUAGAUACCCGGGUAGUC